This 276-nucleotide long non-coding RNA is filed under the name Salvia miltiorrhiza (redroot sage). Its description in RNAcentral is "long non-coding RNA (SMIL_LNC007727)". Lineage: Eukaryota; Viridiplantae; Streptophyta; Magnoliopsida; Lamiales; Lamiaceae. The record is from RNAcentral.
CUCACAUUGCACAUUGCUCGAAGAUGCUUGUGAAACGAAAGAGCAAGAAUUGAAAAUCCAACUAAUGACUCUCCUUCAAACAAUUCAAGCACAGCGUGGUCUAGCAACUCAAGGUCUCACACAUAAACAACUCAAGGUCUCACACAUAAAGGCUAGCUCACGCUUCAAAUAAAAAUGCACAACUCACAUUGCUCGAAGAUGCUUGUGAGACGAAGUUAGUACAGCCACUGCCAAGUGGAACAGGCAGCAACGGCCUAGGUCCGGACCUGAGCUCCG